Molecule: ribosomal RNA, 468 nt
Filed under: uncultured bacterium
Lineage: Bacteria
Description: partial 16S ribosomal RNA
Rfam family: Bacterial small subunit ribosomal RNA
Source: RNAcentral
GACGAACGCUGGCGGCGUGCUUAACACAUGCAAGUCGAACGGAAAGGCCCUGCUUUUGUGGGGUGCUCGAGUGGCGAACGGGUGAGUAACACGUGAGUAACCUGCCCUUGACUUUGGGAUAACUUCAGGGAACUGGGGCUAAUACCGGAGAGGAGCUCCUGCUGCAUGGUGGGGGUUGGAAAGUUUCGGCGGUUGGGGCUGGACUCGCGGGUUAUCAGCUGGUUGGGGGGGUAGUGGUUUACCACGGCUUUGACGGGUAGCCGGCAUGAGAGGGUGACCGGCCACAUUGGGACUGAGAUACGGCCCAGACUCCUACGGGCGGCAGCAGUGGAGAAUAUUGCAGAGUGGGCGGAAGCCUGAUGCAGCAACGCCGCGUGCGGGAUGACGGCCUUCGGGUUGUAAACCGCUUUCGCCUGUGACGAAGCGUGAGUGACGGUAAUGGGUAAAGAAGCACCGGCUAACUACGUG